RNAcentral lists this ribosomal RNA (1482 nucleotides) under metagenome. RNAcentral's name for it is "bacterial SSU rRNA". It matches the Rfam family "Bacterial small subunit ribosomal RNA". The record is from RNAcentral.
AGAGUUUGAUCCUGGCUCAGGAUGAACGCUAGCGGCAGGCUUAAUACAUGCAAGUCGAGGGGCAGCAAGGUUAGCAAUAACUGUUGGCGACCGGCGCACGGGUGCGUAACGCGUAUGCAAUCUACCUUUAACAGAGAGAUAGCCCCGAGAAAUCGGGAUUAAUAUCACAUAAAAUUCAUUUGUGGCAUCAUAGAUGAAUCAAAGCUGAGGCGGUUAAAGAUGAGCAUGCGUGACAUUAGCUAGUUGGUGAGGUAACGGCUCACCAAGGCGACGAUGUCUAGGGGUUCUGAGAGGAUGAUCCCCCACACUGGUACUGAGACACGGACCAGACUCCUACGGGAGGCAGCAGUAAGGAAUAUUGGUCAAUGGGCGCGAGCCUGAACCAGCCAUGCCGCGUGCAGGAAGACGGCCUUAUGGGUUGUAAACUGCUUUUGUCGGGGAAUAAACCUGUCUACGUGUAGACAGCUGAAGGUACCCGAAGAAUAAGCAUCGGCUAACUCCGUGCCAGCAGCCGCGGUAAUACGGAGGAUGCAAGCGUUAUCCGGAUUCAUUGGGUUUAAAGGGUGCGCAGGCGGAAUGAUAAGUCAGUGGUGAAAUUCAACGGCUCAACUGUUGACCUGCCAUUGAUACUGUCAAUCUAGAGUAUAGUUGAAGUGGGCGGAAUGUGUCAUGUAGCGGUGAAAUGCUUAGAUAUGACACAGAACACCGAUCGCGAAGGCAGCUCGCUAAGCUAAAACUGACGCUCAUGCACGAAAGCGUGGGGAUCAAACAGGAUUAGAUACCCUGGUAGUCCACGCCGUAAACGAUGAUUACUCGAUGUUGGCGAUACACAGUCAGCGUCUGAACGAAAGUAUUAAGUAAUCCACCUGGGGAGUACGUUCGCAAGGAUGAAACUCAAAGGAAUUGACGGGGGCCCGCACAAGCGGAGGAGCAUGUGGUUUAAUUCGAUGAUACGCGAGGAACCUUACCUAGACUUAAAUGUAGAUUGACCGGAGGGGAAACCUUUUUUUCAGCAAUGACAAUUUACAAGGUGCUGCAUGGUUGUCGUCAGCUCGUGCCGUGAGGUGUCAGGUUAAGUCCUAUAACGAGCGCAACCCCUAUUCUUAGUUGCCAGCAUGUCAUGAUGGGGACUCUAAGGAAACUGCCUACGCAAGUAGAGAGGAAGGUGGGGAUGACGUCAAAUCAGCACGGCCCUUACGUCUAGGGCUACACACGUGCUACAAUGGUAGGUACAGAGGGCAGCUACACGGUGACGUGAUGCCAAUCUCCAAAGCCUAUCUCAGUUCGGAUCGAAGUCUGCAACCCGACUUCGUGAAGUUGGAUUCGCUAGUAAUCGCAUAUCAGCCAUGAUGCGGUGAAUACGUUCCCGGGCCUUGUACACACCGCCCGUCAAGCCAUGGAAGUUUGGGGUACCUGAAGUCCGUAACCGCAAGGAGCGGCCUAGGGUAAAACGAAUAACUAGGGCUAAGUCGGAACAAGGUA